This 107-nucleotide small nuclear RNA is filed under the name Myotis davidii. Lineage: Eukaryota; Metazoa; Chordata; Mammalia; Chiroptera; Vespertilionidae. The record is from RNAcentral.
AUUCUCACUUAGGCGGCACUUAUACUAAAAUUGGAAUGAUACUGAGAAGAUUAGCAUGGCCCCUGUGCAAGGAUGACACGCAAAUUUGUGAAGCAUCCCAGAUUUAA